AAACCAGCACCUCAAGUGGUCAGGAUGAUUAUUGGGCCUAAAGCAUCCGUAGCCUGCUCUGUAAGUUUUCGGUUAAAUCUGUACGCUUAACGUACAGGCUGCCGAAAAUACUGCAGAGCUAGGGAGUGGGAGAGGUAGACGGUACUCGGGAGGAAGUGGUAAAAUGCUUUGAUCUCUCGAUGACCACCUGUGGCGAAGGCGGUCUACCAGAACACGUCCGACGGUGAGGGAUGAAAGCUGGGGGAGCAAACCGGAUUAGAAACCCGAGUAGUCC
RNAcentral lists this ribosomal RNA (274 nucleotides) under uncultured bacterium. RNAcentral describes it as "partial 16S ribosomal RNA". It matches the Rfam family "Archaeal small subunit ribosomal RNA", at positions 473 to 747 of the family's 1478-position model. The record is from RNAcentral.